AAAAUUAUACUUUCAGGGAUCAUCUCUAUGGUUUGUUACUAGAGAAGUUUCUGUGAAUGUGUAGAACACUGGCAAUCGCAAGGCCAAGGCUCAGCAUUCUCACCUAAGCAUGAAGUUAGCUCUUGAUGUUGGUUGGCUGCAACUGCCAUUUGCCAUUAAUGUCCAUUUUUCUCUUCCUGUGGUAGAGGAAAAGGGAGAGAAUGCACUUUGAGUGGU
Molecule: small nucleolar RNA, 216 nt
Organism: Cebus imitator (Panamanian white-faced capuchin)
Lineage: Eukaryota; Metazoa; Chordata; Mammalia; Primates; Cebidae
Gene: U3
Rfam family: Small nucleolar RNA U3
About the family: Small nucleolar RNAs (snoRNAs) are involved in the processing and modification of rRNA in the nucleolus.
Source: Ensembl